AGUCUUAUAACUUAGCGGUCAGAGUAUAUGCUUGAUAAGCGUAAGGUCAGUAGUUCAAAUCUACUUAAGACUA
Molecule: transfer RNA, 73 nt
Filed under: Phenylobacterium zucineum
Lineage: Bacteria; Pseudomonadati; Pseudomonadota; Alphaproteobacteria; Caulobacterales; Caulobacteraceae
Description: tRNA-Ile
Rfam family: tRNA
About the family: Transfer RNA (tRNA) molecules are approximately 80 nucleotides in length. Their secondary structure includes four short double-helical elements and three loops (D, anti-codon, and T loops).
Source: RNAcentral